This 233-nucleotide long non-coding RNA is filed under the name Mytilus galloprovincialis (Mediterranean mussel). The record is from RNAcentral. Lineage: Eukaryota; Metazoa; Mollusca; Bivalvia; Mytilida; Mytilidae.
AAUAUAAAAAAGAAGAUGUGGUAUGAUUGCCAAUGAGACAACUAUCCACAAAAGACCAAAAUGACACAGACAUUAACAACUAUAUAGGUCACCGUACGGCCUUCAACAAUGAGCAAAGCCCAUACCGCAUAGUCAGCUAUAAAAGGCCCCGAUAAGACAAUGUAAAACAAUUCAAACGAGAAAACUAACAGCCUUAUUUAUGUAAAAAAAUGAACGAAAAACAAAUAUGUAAC